GGGGCUGUAGCUUAGUUGGCAUAAAGCGCUGCACUGUCUAUGCAGAGAACGAGGGUUCAAAUCCCUCCAGCCUCGCCA
RNAcentral lists this transfer RNA (78 nucleotides) under Acidobacteriota bacterium. RNAcentral's name for it is "tRNA-Asp". It matches the Rfam family "tRNA". Rfam says of the family: Transfer RNA (tRNA) molecules are approximately 80 nucleotides in length. Lineage: Bacteria; Pseudomonadati; Acidobacteriota. The record is from RNAcentral.